This 468-nucleotide ribosomal RNA is filed under the name uncultured bacterium. RNAcentral describes it as "partial 16S ribosomal RNA". It matches the Rfam family "Bacterial small subunit ribosomal RNA", at positions 28 to 507 of the family's 1533-position model. The record is from RNAcentral.
GACGAACGCUGGCGGCGUGCUUAACACAUGCAAGUCGAACGGAAAGGCCCUGCUUUUGUGGGGUGCUCGAGUGGCGAACGGGUGAGUAACACGUGAGUAACUUGCCCUUGACUUUGGGAUAACUUCAGGAAACUGGGGCUAAUACCGGAUAGGAGCUCCUGCUGCAUGGUGGGGGUUGGAAAGUUUCGGCGGUUGGGGAUGGACUCGCGGCUUAUCGGCUUGUUGGUGGGGUAGUGGCUUACCAAGGCUUUGACGGGUAGCCGGCCUGAGAGGGUGACCGGCCACAUUGGGACUGAGAUACGGCCCAGACUCCUACGGGAGGCAGCAGUGGGGAAUAGUGCACAAUGGGCGGAAGCCUGAUGCAGCAACGCCGCGUGCGGGAUGACGGCCUUCGGGUUGUAAACCGCUUUCGCCUGUGACGAAGCGUGAGUGACGGUAAUGGGUAAAGAAGCACCGGCUAACUACGUG